ACAAGACAAGGAGACACGCCUUUUAAGUCCACUCCUUCAAAAACAAAUCCCUAGUAUAUCAUACACCAUUUUACAAUAAGGAUUCCGUGCUGAAGAAACAAACUGGAACAUACAGUUAGCAAAAAUAAAAUAAAAUGGAGCAUAAAAACUCUUGGAAGAUAAUCUAAAUUAUUCAUAUACAAACUAAUAAUUACCAGUUAUGUGCAUUUUCUAACUAAGGGCCCUACUAACUAUAGGAGGGUGUUUCCCUGAUAAUAUUC
This 260-nucleotide long non-coding RNA is filed under the name Brachypodium distachyon (stiff brome). RNAcentral describes it as "long non-coding RNA (BDIS_LNC001531)". Lineage: Eukaryota; Viridiplantae; Streptophyta; Magnoliopsida; Poales; Poaceae. The record is from RNAcentral.